AUGUGCCCUCUGGUCGCUACUUUUGGGGUCCCGAAGUAGGAGGCUCUUGGCCACCUGCCUGUUGAGGAAAGCGUCGUCCCUGCCGCGUGUUUCUUCUCUCAGAGCGUUUCGUGGGCAUAAAGGGAACACUGGCCCAGAGAGGCAGGGGACUGGAAACAAUUCGCCGCCUCCUAGCCCCGCGCACUUGGCAGGAGCUUCGAGCAAAGCGCUAUAGAAGCUCUUAAAGGAGAUAGAGGGGGUGGCCUCACAGAGGAGGUGGCAGUACUUCUAGAGCAGGCAGGGUGUGAGGAGGUGUGUUCCUGGUGGUCUUUGCCUGGAAGGCAUUGUCAGAAAUGGAGGCUCCAUGGCGAUUAAAUUGAAGCCCUCAGUACCCUGGAUUGGGAUCCUUGACUCUAGUAAUAAUGUGCAUAUCUGAGACCCCUUGUGUCUCUAACUGUUUGAGGUGCCAUCCUGCCCAUGGCUGGGAGCUGGUAAAGAAACUGCCUGCAAUGUGGGAGACCUGUGUUUGAUCCCUGGAUUGGG
Long non-coding RNA from Bubalus bubalis (water buffalo), 522 nucleotides. RefSeq lists it as uncharacterized. NCBI's taxonomy places the organism in Eukaryota, Metazoa, Chordata, Mammalia, Artiodactyla, Bovidae. The record is from RefSeq and is a predicted model, not a curated record. The transcript has 3 exons.